UUAUCUUCACAAACCACCUCCACAAAAUCUCGUAACCACACACACCAUGAACCACCACAAAAUUGCCCCCACCUUGAAACCAUCGUGAAUCCCUUAUUAUUUGUUACCUUUACUCCCUUUUCAACCUCCAUCAUAACUGCAAACAGACCCAAAACUCAAACAUAAACAAAUUAGAUCCAAAUUUGAAACCCACAAAAUAAAAAACACAACUUUGUCGCCAAUUAGGUUAUGUUUCAAAAAAGAAAAGGUAGAGACUGUUGGGAGGAGGAAGAAUGAUUUUCAGUGUCACACGGUAGCCGGCAAAAAACCUGCAUCGCAAGAAAUAAGAUCCAGAUCUGACUAAAACUUAAAUUGGAUAGAACAAUUAGUGAUAGCGGCUUAUGGUCGUUCAAUUCAGCAAGGGAAGGUUGUCAUGUACCCACCAAGCUAGACAGUCGUGCACUAGUUUCCAUAUUGAUGUAUGAAAAAUGGAAACCACCAUCGAUGUUGUGCCCACACCCACCAUGAACUACCAUUGAAAAUGAAGAUAGAGAAAUCAUCUUCAUAUUUGGAUCUAGUUUCAUUUUGUG
This 569-nucleotide long non-coding RNA is filed under the name Glycine max (soybean). RNAcentral describes it as "long non-coding RNA (GMAX_LNC001732)". Lineage: Eukaryota; Viridiplantae; Streptophyta; Magnoliopsida; Fabales; Fabaceae. The record is from RNAcentral.